AGUCAGAAGUGAGCUUAUUCAUAAAAGUGCAGUGUCGUCCAGUAAGUCUGUAACUUUAUGUAUAAGCUGAUCUCCGACUGA
This is a microRNA precursor of Chinchilla lanigera (long-tailed chinchilla), 81 nucleotides long. Ensembl annotates it as microRNA 590. Its record names the gene MIR590. The record is from Ensembl. Lineage: Eukaryota; Metazoa; Chordata; Mammalia; Rodentia; Chinchillidae.